UAGGGAAUCUUCNNNNNUGGGCGAAAGCCUGAUGGAGCAACGCCGCGUGUGUGAUGAAGGCUUUAGGGUCGUAAAGCACUGUUGUAUGGGAAGAAAUGCUAGAAUAGGGAAUGAUUCUAGUUCGACGGUACCAUACCAGAAAGGGACGGCUAAAUACGUGCCAGCAGCCGCGGUAAUACGUAUGUCCCGAGCGUUAUCCGGAUUUAUUGGGCGUAAAGCGAGCGCAGACGGUUGAUUAAGUCUGAUGUGAAAGCCCGGAGCUCAACUCCGGAAUGGCAUUGGAAACUGGUUAACUUGAGUGUUGUAGAGGUAAGUGGAACUCCAUGUGUAGCGGUGGAAUGCGUAGAUAUAUGGAAGAACACCAGUGGCGAAGGCGGCUUACUGGACAACAACUGACGUUGAGGCUCGAAAGUGUGGGUAGCAAACAGGAUUAGAUACCCUGGUAGUCCACACCGUAAACGAUGAAUACUAGGUGUUAGGAGGUUUCCGCCUCUUAGUGCCGAAGCUAACGCAUUAAGUAUUCCGCCUGGGGAGUACGACCGCAAGGUUG
Molecule: ribosomal RNA, 550 nt
Filed under: uncultured bacterium
Lineage: Bacteria
Description: bacterial SSU rRNA
Rfam family: Bacterial small subunit ribosomal RNA
Source: RNAcentral